Molecule: ribosomal RNA, 779 nt
Filed under: uncultured bacterium
Lineage: Bacteria
Description: bacterial SSU rRNA
Rfam family: Bacterial small subunit ribosomal RNA
Source: RNAcentral
AGAGUUUGAUCCUGGCUCAGGACGAACGCUGGCGGCGUGCCUAACACAUGCAAGUCGAGCGAGGUCCAUCCGGUGGCAACACCGGGGAAGACCGAGCGGCGAACGGGUGAGUAACACGUGAGAAACCUGCCCCGAAGUCUGGGAUAACCCGAGGAAACUCGAGCUAAUACCGGAUCCCCCCUCCUGGUCGCAUGGCCGGGAGAGGAAAGAACUUCGCUUCGGGAGGGUCUCGCGGCCUAUCAGCUAGUUGGUGGGGUAACGGCCUACCAAGGCAUCGACGGGUAGCUGGUCUGAGAGGACGAUCAGCCACACUGGGACUGAGACACGGCCCAGACUCCUGCGGGAGGCAGCAGUUAGGAAUCUUGCGCAAUGGGCGAAAGCCUGACGCAGCAACGCCGCGUGCGGGAUGAAGGCCUUAGGGUUGUAAACCGCUUUCGGCAGGGACGAAAUCAGACGGUACCUGCAGAAGAAGCCCCGGCCAACUACGUGCCAGCAGCCGCGGUAACACGUAGGGGGCAAGCGUUGUCCGGAUUUAUUGGGCGUAAAGAGCUCGUAGGCGGCUCGGUAAGUCGCGUGUGAAUCCUCCAGGCUCAACCUGGAGACGCCACUCGAUACUGCCGUGGCUAGAGUCCGGUAGAGGAGCGUAGAAUUCCUGGUGUAGCGGUGAAAUGCGCAGAUAUCAAGAGGAAUACCAGCGGCGAAGGCGGCGCUCUGGGCCGGUACUGACGCUGAGGAGCGAAAGCGUGGGGAGCAAACAGGAUUAGAUACCCUGGUAGUCC